CCUACGGGUGGCAGCAGUCGGGAAUAUUGCGCAAUGGAGGAAACUCUGACGCAGUGACGCCGCGUGAAGGAUGAAGGCUUUAGGGUUUUUAACUUCUUUUUAUAUGGAAGUGCAGAAGACGGUACCUCUUGAAUAAGCCAUGGCUAAUUACGUGCCAGCAGCCGAGGCCAUACGUAGGUGGCCAGCGUUGUCCGGAUUUACUGGGUGUAAAGGGCGUGCAGCCGGGAAGACAAGUCAGAUGUGAAAUCCCGCGGCUCAACCGCGGAACUGCAUUUGAAACUGUUUUUCUUGAGUACAGGAGAGGUCAGCGGAAUUCCUUGUGUAGCGGUGAAAUGCGUAGAUAUAAGGAAGAACACCGAUUGCGAAGGCAGAUGACUGGACGGCAACUGACGGUGAGGCGCGAAAGCGUGGGUAGCAAACAGGAUUAGAUACCCUUGUAGUC
This 442-nucleotide ribosomal RNA is filed under the name uncultured bacterium. Its description in RNAcentral is "partial 16S ribosomal RNA". It matches the Rfam family "Bacterial small subunit ribosomal RNA", at positions 338 to 795 of the family's 1533-position model. The record is from RNAcentral.